This 497-nucleotide ribosomal RNA is filed under the name uncultured bacterium. RNAcentral's name for it is "partial 16S ribosomal RNA". It matches the Rfam family "Bacterial small subunit ribosomal RNA", at positions 28 to 507 of the family's 1533-position model. The record is from RNAcentral.
GAUGAACGCUGGCGGCGUGCCUAAUACAUGCAAGUCGAGCGAACGGACGAGAAGCUUGCUUCUCUGAUGUUAGCGGCGGACGGGUGAGUAACACGUGGAUAACCUACCUAUAAGACUGGGAUAACUUCGGGAAACCGGAGCUAAUACCGGAUAAUAUUUUGAACCGCAUGGUUCAAAAGUGAAAGACGGUCUUGCUGUAACUUAUAGAUGGAUCCGCGCUGCAUUAGCUAGUUGGUAAGGUAACGGCUUACCAAGGCAACGAUGCAUAGCCGACCUGAGAGGGUGAUCGGCCACACUGGAACUGGGACACGGUCCAGACUCCUACGGGAGGCAGCAGUAGGGAAUCUUCCGCAAUGGGCGAAAGCCUGACGGAGCAACGCCGCGUGAGUGAUGAAGGUCUUCGGAUCGUAAAACUCUGUUAUUAGGGAAGAACAUAUGUGUAAGUAACUGUGCACAUCUUGACGGUACCUAAUCAGAAAGCCACGGCUAACUACGUG